GUGUUUGUGUUGGUUAAUGCUAAUUGGAAUGCUUGGCAUUUCUGAGCAGCAAGUGUUUGUUACACAUCCUACUCUAUGUAUAUCAUGGGUUUCUAUGACAUCAUAAAAUUGUUUGUUGAAAGUAUUUGGAUGCUGUAGUUGGUGAAAUUAUGGGAUAGGUCUGGGACAGCUAAGUAAUUUAGCUAGCAGGUCAUACCAGUAACCACAACCCAGGUCACAGGCUGCUCGGCACUUGGGACAAUUUUGAUUAAAAUGUCAACAUUUGUGCAAACAUAUGUUGAACAAAACAAGACACAAUUUACAUCUUUUUUUUUUUUAGUUCGAAAUCCUUGUUCUUUUUGUGCCUUUUAAUGUCAGAAAAUUUUUUUUUUUCUUUGAUCUCUGUCACAUAUAAAAUUUAUGAAACUCUCAUAAAGUUGAACAUUUUUCCUAUGUUACUUGUAGAACAACCAAACUCUAAGUUUGACUCAGCUAAGCUUUUUUAAGUGAGAUGAUGGUGGGCAUUUUCAAUAUGACAUUGUCUUUCUAUGAACUGAAAAAUUAUUAUUGUUAUUAUUUUUUUUGGUGCCAUUACUUUCAUUUGCUAAAUCUAAGUUUGUGUUAGGUGACCUCCAUAAUGCUGGUGAGAAGUAAUCUUCUACUUGCUAGUGCCUCCUAAUCUUAAAAGACAAUUAAAUCUCUUGCAGUUCUCUUUCCAAGUAUGAAAUUUACACGUUAUCUCUAAUAACUCUUAACUAGUUGCCCUUUUACAG
Molecule: unclassified non-coding RNA, 752 nt
Filed under: Hevea brasiliensis (rubber tree)
Lineage: Eukaryota; Viridiplantae; Streptophyta; Magnoliopsida; Malpighiales; Euphorbiaceae
Source: RNAcentral